Long non-coding RNA from Callithrix jacchus (white-tufted-ear marmoset), 2811 nucleotides. The record is from Ensembl. NCBI's taxonomy places the organism in Eukaryota, Metazoa, Chordata, Mammalia, Primates, Cebidae.
CAGGCUUCUUUUUUUGUAAAUGAUUUUAAUUCUGGUUCAAGGAGACGUGCGGUAGAAUUACACAUCGAUAAUUAAGAUGGUCUGUAGUUGAUGAAAACAAAUGGAAAAAUGAUAAUAAUAAUAAAAACGGAAUUCUCUAUCGAGCACUUACGAUGUUCCAGAGACCGUAUUAAGCAUGCUAGUUUAGUGGCUCAUUGAUCACAGUGGCGGGAAAACGUCAUAUCUGCAUCUUACAAGUGAGGAGACAAUACGUUUUCAUAGCCAGUGAAUGGUAGAGCUGGUAGGAAUUUGCAUCUGGCCAGCCUGAGGGAGUGUGAGCCAUCAUUCCAAACUGCCACUGAGUCUCAGCUCAGACGGGGAUCUAAACAGAAGCUUCUCGGAGCCCCACGUGUGCACACUAUACACUUAAGUCAGUGAACUGUGCAGCAGGCGUUACAGGCCCUGUGAAGAGGGUAAUGUACCCAUUGGAUAUUACUCCAAAAUCAAGUGUGCUUUACAUCCAUGAAUUAGAACCCCAUUUACAGUAAAUAUAAUGAACCCACUGAAUAUCCAUGACUAGCCAGCUUUCUGCAGAGGAAGAUUUAAUAAAAUGUCAUUUUUUAAAUAAAUAUACUUUUUUUCCUAGGAGCCCACAGCUAUUGUUAAAAUAUCUUUAAUCAACUGUCAAGCAGCGGGGUCCGUAAGUCUCCUAUUCAGUAAGAGGGUGGAACUUUCUAUAUACUCAGUGUAAGUAAACUAAACAGUUUUCAAGCUCUACAUGGAAAAUGGCUUUUCCCUGCUUACAUCAAACAAGUCGACAGUUUAUCAACACAUCGCUUCUGAUUAUUUCACGUCUGAGCUAGAGCCAAGGUUUAAAACCCCAGUCUGAGAAACGCGUACAUGCUCUCUUUCUGACGGCGGAAUGAAGGAAAGGUAUGCCAUUCUGACUUCAGCAUACGUCCCCAGGAACGUGUUUACACUGAGAAGCCUGUGGUAUGAUAAAGGUCACUCGGCAGUGUGGCUCUUUCCUCCGUUUGGCAGUGGGAGGCCACGAGAGCCGGAAUUCUCACGAGCAGCAGCGUCUCAGCAGCCCUCGGCAGAGGGACAGACUGGAAGCAGAUGUGGCACAGGUCUCCCCAUGCGGCUUCACUGUGGACUCUCAGGGCAUCUACCCCGGGACUUCCCGCACCAAGAAGACCUUGAGAGACCAGGGGUUUCACCGUGUUGGUCAGGCUGGCCUCGAAUGCCUCAAGUGUUCCUCUCACCUCAGCCUCCCAAAUUGCUAAGAUUGCAAGUGUGAGCUACAGCACUCAGCCCCAGGGAAUUCAUUCACUGCAUUUCCUUUCCCAUUGGUUGAGGAUUUUCCUGGACAUUUUACCCUUCUCCACCUCAAGGUUUCUGAUGGUUGGGUGUCCCCCCAACUUCAGGGAGAGCCCAGAGAACGCAGGGCAGAGAGAUGCCUGGCAGAAACCUGCAGGCGAGGGCUCACCACGCAAUGCAUCAUGGGUGGCUGUGCAAAAGAGAACAGUUACUGUCACUUUCUGCUCAGUGUGGAUAGUCCAUUUCUAACAAGCAGUGACAUGAAAUAGGCAGUGUGACUACAGAGUUGACAGCGUGUUAUAACAAUCUGGAAGCCCCACUUCCCUCUCUUAAGCAGCAAGCUGAUAUGCAGACUCAUCAAAGAGACUUUAAGGUGCCACCAGACAACGCCCUUUAAUUUUAAUUUUGUGCAAAAAAAUCUGGAUUUGUUUUAAAAAAUUAAGAAAAUCUUGUUGAAAUCAAGGAGCUUAAUAAAAGAAGCAGUUUGACUUUAAAAAUCUCAGACUCCAGCUAGCUUGGAAUAGCAUUAGAUCGUCUCUGAUAUCUCAGGAGAAGACCCUUAAAAAUAUACCUCAAAUACCUGAAUGUGUGAUACGUCGAGUAAAGUGAGUUACCGGCUAACAUUGGAAGAUCCCGGGGCUCAGUCCUCACUCCUCUUCUCUCUCUACAGCCACACGCUUGCUGCUGUCCCCUCCUCUGAUGGCUGUAAAUUCCAUCUGCCUGCUGCUGUCCAUGAACAGAAGCCUGCGGGGCUUCUCUUCUGACCUGGAAACCCCUAGAUCCACCUGCCAGCUUGGCAGCUCCUCUGGGUGUUUCAUGAUCAGUAUUCCCAACAGUAAAAUCCUGAACACUCCUCCCCAAAUCCGCUCCAUGCACCGCCUUCCCUUGUGGUGGCAACUGCAUCCACUGUGGGUCUUUGGGCCCCCCUUUUCUUUGACUCCCCAGCUCCAGUCCCCCAGCAAGGCCAGCUGGCUCUGUGCUCCGCACAGCCAGGAUCGGCCCAUGCCUCAGGGCCCUCACUGCCAGGCCCACACAUGAUGCUCAAAGAGACGCUCACAUACGUCCAAAUAUUUAAAAUUUAUAAAUCAAACCCACAAACUUUGUUAAGUAAAAAAUGUUUAAAUAAACAAUUUUAAAAGUACAUUUAAAAAGUUCUCCUUCCUUGGUAGAGAUGCCUUCCUAAUGAUGCAGAAGGAAAAGUUCUACAGAGCUUGGGACUCCAGAAUUUCCCUGAUAGGAGGUAUAUGGGACGGGAGGGUGAAGGGGCAGCCUGCCCAUGGCCUACCCCUGGCUUCCCCCCACCCCGGCUCUGUGUGCACCCCUGGGUACCCUGUCCACAUAUUCACUUCCACACACACAUUCCUCACACCAGUCUCAGGGAUAUGCACACUCACUUCUGUCUUCCCCAAAUUAUAGUGUUCAUAUAGCAGAUUUGUUUCUCUCAUCUUAUUUUACAUUUUCAAUUCACUAUGCUUCAUUUCUGUUUCUUUUUUUCUUUUUUUAACCUUCCUC